UGCAGUCGAACGGCAGCACGGAGCUUGCUCUGGUGGCGAGUGGCGAACGGGUGAGUAAUAUAUCGGAACGUACCCUAGAGUGGGGGAUAACGUAGCGAAAGUUACGCUAAUACCGCAUACGAUCUAAGGAUGAAAGUGGGGGAUCGCAAGACCUCAUGCUCGUGGAGCGGCCGAUAUCUGAUUAGCUAGUUGGUAGGGUAAAAGCCUACCAAGGCAUCGAUCAGUAGCUGGUCUGAGAGGACGACCAGCCACACUGGAACUGAGACACGGUCCAGACUCCUACGGGAGGCAGCAGUGGGGAAUUUUGGACAAUGGGCGAAAGCCUGAUCCAGCAAUGCCGCGUGAGUGAAGAAGGCCUUCGGGUUGUAAAGCUCUUUUGUCAGGGAAGAAACGGUGAAAGCUAAUAUCUUUUGCUAAUGACGGUACCUGAAGAAUAAGCACCGGCUAACUACGUGCCAGCAGCCGCGGUAAUACGUAGGGUGCAAGCGUUAAUCGGAAUUACUGGGCGUAAAGCGUGCGCAGGCGGUUUUGUAAGUCUGAUGUGAAAUCCCCGGGCUCAACCUGGGAAUUGCAUUGGAGACUGCAAGGCUAGAAUCUGGCAGAGGGGGGUAGAAUUCCACGUGUAGCAGUGAAAUGCGUAGAUAUGUGGAGGAACACCGAUGGCGAAGGCAGCCCCCUGGGUCAAGAUUGACGCUCAUGCACGAAAGCGUG
This 711-nucleotide ribosomal RNA is filed under the name uncultured bacterium. RNAcentral describes it as "bacterial SSU rRNA". It matches the Rfam family "Bacterial small subunit ribosomal RNA", at positions 56 to 763 of the family's 1533-position model. The record is from RNAcentral.